UAUUUCUUCUCCAGUAAAUUAGAUCUUAGUUGGAGGUGAUAUGUGUUCUUUGCUCAGCAUUAUCAUUAAAAAAAAAGGAAAAUUCAUAAAAAGAUGUACAGAAAAAUAGAUACCACUUUGUGCUACUUGCAAUAAAUAAACAUAGAAGAUAUGAUGUAUGUAUAGUAUUAACUUUGUGGGAUGUGUUGUUUCUUCCAAUAGCGUCAUGUUCUGUUUGUUGUGUGAUUGAAAGAUGUAGGGGCCUCGCUUACAUAGUCGGGAAAAAUGGAAGCAAAGGCUGAAGAAGAUGGUAAUGUGGAGUGACAGUUUGAAUAAAGGAGGCAUUGCGAAAAUAAAAGCUCACAAUACCUUGGUCGCUCUAGUGGACAAAUACACAGAAGAAAAUUUUUUCUUCCCAUGUAAGUAAAUCGCCGUGAAGAUUGCAAUAAGUAGAUAGUUGGGCACUAAGACUGUUUAGAUAGCAUCAUUAUGAGCACAAUAUGAAAUAUUAAACCGCCACCAUUGCCGCAUAAAUAAGGUUAAACUCCACAAAACAUAUUUAAUCAUUACUCUGUGUAUGUGAUACAUGUAUCUUAUUUUUCUUCUCUUUCACCAUUGUAAAUAAUUAGAUAUCUCAAUUUCAAGUUAUUGAUAUUAUA
Molecule: long non-coding RNA, 638 nt
Organism: Arabidopsis lyrata subsp. lyrata
Lineage: Eukaryota; Viridiplantae; Streptophyta; Magnoliopsida; Brassicales; Brassicaceae
Exons: 3
Source: RefSeq, a predicted model, not a curated record